UACAACUUUCAACAACGGAUCUCUUGGCUCUCGCAUCGAUGAAGAACGCAGCGAAAUGCGAUAAGUAAUGUGAAUUGCAGAAUUCAGUGAAUCAUCGAAUCUUUGAACGCACCUUGCGCUCCUUGGUAUUCCGAGGAGCAUGCCUGUUUGAGUGUCAU
Molecule: ribosomal RNA, 158 nt
Filed under: Tricholoma portentosum
Lineage: Eukaryota; Fungi; Basidiomycota; Agaricomycetes; Agaricales; Tricholomataceae
Also listed under: 11 other names
Description: 5.8S ribosomal RNA
Rfam family: 5.8S ribosomal RNA
About the family: 5.8S ribosomal RNA (5.8S rRNA) is a component of the large subunit of the eukaryotic ribosome.
Source: RNAcentral